RNAcentral lists this long non-coding RNA (205 nucleotides) under Elaeis guineensis (African oil palm). RNAcentral's name for it is "long non-coding RNA (EGUI_LNC018901)". Lineage: Eukaryota; Viridiplantae; Streptophyta; Magnoliopsida; Arecales; Arecaceae. The record is from RNAcentral.
GAGAUCAUCUCAAAUAGUCUUGUCUUGUCAGUGCUCAGCUAGCGAUAUUUCAAUGUUUGAUAGGGAGCGAUAUGUGAUGAUGCUUUUCUUCGAAUUUUAACAAGUUCGAGUAAGCCGGACUAGCUUAAAGUUAGUUUAAACAUCAACAUAGAUGUGUGGUUAUAUUGGCAUUUGUAAGGGGUGACAUAGUAAAAUUUUUGUCUAA